This 126-nucleotide small nucleolar RNA is filed under the name Salmo salar (Atlantic salmon). RNAcentral's name for it is "Small nucleolar RNA SNORA65". It matches the Rfam family "Small nucleolar RNA SNORA65". From Rfam's summary of the family: U65 belongs to the H/ACA class of snoRNAs which are thought to guide the sites of modification of uridines to pseudouridines. Lineage: Eukaryota; Metazoa; Chordata; Actinopteri; Salmoniformes; Salmonidae. The record is from Rfam by way of RNAcentral.
CCCGCCACUUUGCCAGUCUUGUUGAGUGACUGAGUGUAGUCCAGUGGAGGCUAAUAUGGACCCAGCUCUAGGAAACAGGACUGCCCAGACAGUGGGCAACUCUGUGCCGAAAGGCCUGGAACAACU